Molecule: long non-coding RNA, 443 nt
Filed under: Trifolium pratense (red clover)
Lineage: Eukaryota; Viridiplantae; Streptophyta; Magnoliopsida; Fabales; Fabaceae
Description: long non-coding RNA (TPRA_LNC009409)
Source: RNAcentral
UGUUCUUCAAGUUACCUGUCCAUUCUUGCUGAUCAACUUGGGUUUCAUUCCAUUUAGUCAGUGAGUGAAUACAUAUUUGUUGGAGAAAUUGUUUUGGGAUUUGGUUGCAUAGAAAAUUACACUAUGGAAUGUUGAAAGUAUGCUGUAACUCUGUUGCUGGUUUGAUUUGGCUGUGGAUCUUAGCUUUAUCCUCUUUCUCAGUUUCAUAUUAGUGGUUUGUUGCCAUGUUUGAUGCCUAUCUGCUUAAGGCACAAUACUAUUUGGUCUUCUGAUAUUCAUUCUAGUCGAUCCAUUUCUCCUACAUACUGAUGAUUGAUUGUUGGUNNGGACUGCUCCUUUUGAGUUGCCUAGCAUCUGUCAGCAUUGAUGGUAAUGAAAGAGAUUCUUACAAAAGCCUUAUGUGGAUUUUGCUAAAGGAGUAGCUUUUUGGACUUGAAGUUGCU